AGGCCUAACACAUGCAAGUCGAACGAAGGCUUCGGCCUUAGUGGCGCACGGGUGCGUAACGCGUGGGAAUCUGCCCCUUGGUUCGGAAUAACAGUUAGAAAUGACUGCUAAUACCGGAUAAUGACGUAAGUCCAAAGAUUUAUCGCCGAGGGAUGAGCCCGCGUAGGAUUAGCUAGUUGGUGUGGUAAAGGCGCACCAAGGCGACGAUCCGUAGCUGGUCUGAGAGGAUGAUCAGCCACACUGGGACUGAGACACGGCCCAGACUCAUACGGGAGGCAGCAGUGGGGAAUAUUGGACAAUGGGCGAAAGCCUGAUCCAGCAAUUCCGCGUGAGUGAUGAAGGCCUUAGGGUUGUAAAGCUCUUUUAACCCGGGAUGAUAAUGACAGUACCGGGAGAAUAAGCUCCGGCUAACUCCGUGCCAGCAGCCGCGGUAAU
This 435-nucleotide ribosomal RNA is filed under the name uncultured bacterium. Its description in RNAcentral is "bacterial SSU rRNA". It matches the Rfam family "Bacterial small subunit ribosomal RNA", at positions 44 to 524 of the family's 1533-position model. The record is from RNAcentral.